GACGAACGCUGGCGGCGUGCUUAACACAUGCAAGUCGAGCGGUAAGGCCUCUUCUGGGGUACACGAGCGGCGAACGGGUGAGUAACACGUGGGUGACCUGCCCUCAGCUCUGGGAUAAGCCUGCGAAACUGGGUCUAAUACCGGAUAUGACCUUUCCUCGCAUGGGGUUUGGUGGAAAGUUUUUUCGGCUAGGGAUGGGCCCGCGGCCUAUCAGCUUGUUGGUGGGGUGAUGGCCUACCAAGGCGACGACGGGUAGCCGGCCUGAGAGGGCGACCGGCCAGACUGGGACUGAGACACGGCACAGACACCUACGGGAGGAAGCAGUGGGGAAUAUUGCGCAAUGGGCGGAAGCCGGACGCAGCGACGCCGCGUGGGGGAUGACGGCCUUCGGGUUGUAAACCUCUUUCGACCCCGACGAAUUUGGACGGUAGGGGUAGAAGAAGCACCGGCCAACUACGUG
RNAcentral lists this ribosomal RNA (460 nucleotides) under uncultured bacterium. RNAcentral describes it as "partial 16S ribosomal RNA". It matches the Rfam family "Bacterial small subunit ribosomal RNA", at positions 28 to 507 of the family's 1533-position model. The record is from RNAcentral.